CGGGUGAGUAACACGUAUCCAACCUGCCGUCUACUCUUGGACAGCCUUCUGAAAGGAAGAUUAAUACAAGAUGGCAUCAUGAGUCCACAUGUUCACAUGAUUAAAGGUAUUCCGGUAGACGAUGGGGAUGCGUUCCAUUAGAUAGUAGGCGGGGUAACGGCCCACCUAGUCUUCGAUGGAUAGGGGCUCUGAGAGGAAGGUCCCCCACAUUGGAACUGAGACACGGUCCAA
RNAcentral lists this ribosomal RNA (231 nucleotides) under uncultured bacterium. Its description in RNAcentral is "partial 16S ribosomal RNA". It matches the Rfam family "Bacterial small subunit ribosomal RNA", at positions 103 to 334 of the family's 1533-position model. The record is from RNAcentral.